UCCGGAACCGAACGCACACGUUACUCCCGCGGACAUUGUCCGCGCAAGCGCGACAGUUCCCCCUCACUCUCUCUCGCUUCAUCGUUUUAUUUGGUCUUUCUCUCUCUCUCUCUUUCUAGACUGGCAGACCGGAGGUUACUUGGACGCGGCCGCAACACACAUGCCAAAUCGGGGGAACAACGUAGCUGGUUGCCCCCCUAUAGGUCGUGUCUCGGGUGUCUCCGGCUAAACCCUUUCGGCGCGUCGAUGUGACCGAUUUUGACGUCAAACUUCGCUCGAUUCUGGCAUUUUCGCUCCAAUUAGUUCGCUCCCACGCGCGUAAUCGAGUUCCCGAGAAGGCGAGAUUCCUGCGAAUGUCUUUGGAAGGACCUAGUUUUUUGCCGACCAGGGACAGGAUUUUCAGAUCUGUCAAAACGACAAAUACCCUUUGGGAAUCCCCAAAAGAAACAACCGACAGCGCGCUAAAUUCCAGGAUCCAGACAGGGAAAAAACUACCGAAUGCCUGCUCUGGUGACUAGGCCCUUUACCAAGAACGCUGCCUAAUGUUCCGUGCUUUCGAUUCGUUUUCCCGCAAGCCACAAAAUACGAGAAAGUUACGGCACUCACACGCCAAAAGUCUGAUAAGCGCACCGACACCCCCACCAUACGGCCGUUCAUUAGACGCUUAUCGGGGAGUCGGGGACUUUAUCCAACUUUAUUACCAUCGAUCGUCACGAUACGGCAGCAACAAAUAUGGAGCAGUCGAGAGUGCGCAAAUCUGCCCCGCUGAGCGGCUUGUCGUCAUCCGCAGGUUUACGUCGAACGUCGGUCCUUGGCCGUGCCGUUAACUCAUCCCUGACGCCCCUCCCCAGGGCGAGGAAAAUCUGCGGAAAAUCUUUUCCACGCACCACGCACCACUAACGUUUCAUUUCGCCGACGUUAAUUUGGCAUCGCGUUAAUGAGUGAAUGGGAUAUCGGCUAAAUGAAUUACGUAUUUAUGAUGGCAGGCUGGCGGGCCUGUCGGCGGCAGCGACGGAACGAAAUGGCGGCGGCAGGUUUUCCUGUUUCGCAUUGUUUCGCGUACCUCCGGGAGCAUCCGGGAUCCGCCACCGAAUUCCGGUCGCGACGUAAUUGUGCGGCCGCGGCAGCGGAAUGGCGGUCGCUUGUCAAACGCUGACAGCGGUUGCAAACGAAAAUAUAUGACCAUUUAACAGCUGUGCACUGCGACACUGCCGGUGGUGGUGCCUGCGUGCGCGCGGAAUGGCGGCCGACACCGCCACUUACACGUCGCGCAAAUGAUUUCCUGCCGCACGGGACCGGGAAUUGGAACGGAAUCGACGAAGUCAUGAAGUCACCGGGCCGGUGGUCGGUCGGCGCACUCGGAUCGGCCACACACACUACGGACUACGGUUUGAAUCCGCAAUUUGCAAAUGAAAUGUUAAUA
Molecule: long non-coding RNA, 1423 nt
Organism: Anopheles cruzii
Lineage: Eukaryota; Metazoa; Arthropoda; Insecta; Diptera; Culicidae
Exons: 3
Source: RefSeq, a predicted model, not a curated record